Small nucleolar RNA from Balaenoptera ricei (Rice's whale), 122 nucleotides. Lineage: Eukaryota; Metazoa; Chordata; Mammalia; Artiodactyla; Balaenopteridae. The record is from RefSeq and is a predicted model, not a curated record.
UACCUUGAGUUCAGCUCAGGGCAGCUCCCCUGUUCUGUUAAUUAAAAUCUGGGACAUCAAACUGGCUAGGGUAGAUCACUGCAUAGAAAAUAUUCUAUUCAUUUACCUCCCAGCCUAUAAAA